Molecule: ribosomal RNA, 433 nt
Filed under: uncultured bacterium
Lineage: Bacteria
Description: partial 16S ribosomal RNA
Rfam family: Bacterial small subunit ribosomal RNA
Source: RNAcentral
AACGAACGCUGGCGGCAGGCCUAACACAUGCAAGUCGAACGAAGUCUUCGGACUUAGUGGCGCACGGGUGGGUAACACGUGGGAAUAUACCUUACGCUGGGGGAUAACAUCGGGAAACUGAUGCUAAUACCGCAUACGCCCUUCGGGGGAAAGAUUUAUCGGCGAAAGAUUAGCCCGCGUCCGAUUAGCUAGUUGGUGAGGUAAUGGCUCACCAAGGCUCCGAUCGGUAGCUGGUCUGAGAGGAUGACCAGCCACACUGGGACUGAGACACGGCCCAGACUCCUACGGGAGGCAGCAGUGGGGAAUAUUGGACAAUGGGCGCAAGCCUGAUCCAGCCAUGCCGCGUGAGUGAUGAAGGCCCUAGGGUUGUAAAGCUCUUUCACCCACGACGAUGAUGACGGUAGUGGGAGAAGAAGCCCCGGCUAACUUCGUG